Molecule: unclassified non-coding RNA, 371 nt
Filed under: uncultured Mortierella
Lineage: Eukaryota; Fungi; Mortierellomycota; Mortierellomycetes; Mortierellales; Mortierellaceae
Description: sequence contains ITS2
Rfam family: 5.8S ribosomal RNA (bases 1-52)
Source: RNAcentral
AACGCAUAUUGCGCUCUCUGGUAUUCCGGAGAGCAUGCUUGUUUGAGUAUCAGUAAACACCCUCAAAGCCUCUUUUUUUUUUUUUAAAAAAAAAAGACAGGUUUUGGAUUUGAGUGAUUCCAACGCCGAUUCCCUUCAAGGAUUUAGUGGCGGACCACUUGAAAUGCAGGUGCAGCUGGACAUUCUUCUGAGCUAAAAGCAUAUUUAUUUAGUCCUGUCAAUACUUUUUUGUGUUGCGGAUUAUUACUUCUGCUGCAGCUAACAUAAAGGUUGAAAGUCCAAAUGCUGACUGAUGCAGAAAUUUUUCAGUGAAGCGUAAGCUUUCUGUUAAACUCGAUCUCAAAUCAAGUAAGACUACCCGCUGAACUUAA